RNAcentral lists this ribosomal RNA (255 nucleotides) under uncultured bacterium. RNAcentral describes it as "partial 16S ribosomal RNA". It matches the Rfam family "Bacterial small subunit ribosomal RNA", at positions 524 to 776 of the family's 1533-position model. The record is from RNAcentral.
CACGUAGGGUGCGAGCGUUGUCCGGAAUUAUUGGGCGUAAAGAGCUCGUAGGCGGUGUGUCGCGUCGGCCGUGAAAACCUGCAGCUUAACUGUGGGCUUGCGGUCGAUACGGGCAUCACUGGAGUUCGGCAGGGGAGACUGGAAUUCCUGGUGUAGCGGUGAAAUGCGCAGAUAUCAGGGAGGAACACCGGUGGCGAAGGCGGGUCUCUGGGCAGUAACUGACGCUGAGGAGCGAAAGCGUGGGGAGCGAACAGG